Molecule: long non-coding RNA, 318 nt
Organism: Pezoporus flaviventris
Lineage: Eukaryota; Metazoa; Chordata; Aves; Psittaciformes; Psittacidae
Exons: 3
Source: RefSeq, a predicted model, not a curated record
AGCGCCAGCACCCAGACACGAGGGAAAAACCUCAGUUAGGGUGGGAAAUGCGCAAGAUGUAAUCCCGCGCCCCAAACUGGAGCCGGGACGGAACAGAGGGCAAAGUCGGAGGGAAUUCCCGGCCUUUCGCCGGGGCUAAUGGAAUGAGUCAUCGACAGAGUGGAUUAUUUAAAGCACCAUGAGCUGGGCAUAUCAAAGCUUUUGACACGACUCGGGAAUGAUAGCGCUGCCCAUCGCUGCUGGUUUGAGCAGAAGGUUGCAGUUAUGCCCCCCUCACCUUCUAAGGGCUCCAGCGCUGUGCAGCUCUGUCUGGGAACG